RNAcentral lists this ribosomal RNA (506 nucleotides) under uncultured bacterium. RNAcentral describes it as "partial 16S ribosomal RNA". It matches the Rfam family "Bacterial small subunit ribosomal RNA", at positions 29 to 523 of the family's 1533-position model. The record is from RNAcentral.
AGUGAACGCUGGCGGUAGGCCUAACACAUGCAAGUCGAACGGCAGCACAGGAGAGCUUGCUCUCUGGGUGGCGAGUGGCGGACGGGUGAGGAAUACAUCGGAAUCUACUUUUUCGUGGGGGAUAACGUAGGGAAACUUACGCUAAUACCGCAUACGACCUACGGGUGAAAGCAGGGGAUCUUCGGACCUUGCGCGAUUGAAUGAGCCGAUGUCGGAUUAGCUAGUUGGCGGGGUAAAGGCCCACAAAGGCGACGAUCCGUAGCUGGUCUGAGAGGAUGAUCAGCCACACUGGAACUGAGACGCGGUCCAGACUCCUACGGGAGGCAGCAGUGGGGAAUAUUGGGCAAUGGGCGCAAGCCUGAUCCAGCCAUACCGCGUGGGUGAAGAAGGCCUUCGGGUUGUAAAGCCCUUUUGUUGGGAAAGAAAUCCAGCUGGCUAAUACCCGGUUGGGAUGACGGUACCCAAAGAAUAAGCACCGGCUAACUUCGUGCCAGCCGCCGCCGUAA